GGAGUUAGCCGGUGCUUCUUCUGCGAGUAACGUCACAGAUGUAAGGUAUUAACUUACACCCUUUCCUCCUCGCUGAAAGUGCUUUACAACCCGAAGGCCUUCUUCACACACGCGGCAUGGCUGCAUCAGGGUUUCCCCCAUUGUGCAAUAUUCCCCACUGCUGCCUCCCGUAGGAGUCUGGGCCGUGUCUCAGUCCCAGUGUGGCUGAUCAUCCUCUCAGACCAGCUAGGGAUCGUCGCCUAGGUGAGCCUUUACCUCACCUACUAGCUAAUCCCACCUGGGCUUAUCCAUCAGCGCAAGGCCCGAAGGUCCCCUGCUUUCCCCCGUAGGGCGUAUGCGGUAUUAGCAGUCGUUUCCAACUGUUAUCCCCCACAAAUGGGCAAAUUCCCAGGCAUUACUCACCCGUCCGCCGCUCGUCAUCUUCAAAAGCAAGCUUUUGAAAUGUUACCGCUCGACUUGCAUGUNUUAGGCCUGCCGCCAGCGUUCAAUCUGAGCCAUANACAACACU
RNAcentral lists this ribosomal RNA (508 nucleotides) under uncultured bacterium. RNAcentral describes it as "partial 16S ribosomal RNA". The record is from RNAcentral.